AGCGAACGCUGGCGGCAGGCCUAACACAUGCAAGUCGAACGAACCUUUCGGGGUUAGUGGCGGACGGGUGAGUAACACGUGGGAACGUGCCUUUAGGUUCGGAAUAACUCAGGGAAACUUGUGCUAAUACCGAAUGUGCCCUUCGGGGGAAAGAUUUAUCGCCUUUAGAGCGGCCCGCGUCUGAUUAGCUAGUUGGUUGAGGUAAUGGCUCACCAAGGCGACGAUCAGUAGCUGGUCUGAGAGGAUGAUCAGUCACAUUGGGACUGAGACACGGCCCAAACUCCUACGGGAGGCAGCAGUGGGGAAUCUUGCGCAAUGGGCGAAAGCCUGACGCAGCCAUGCCGCGUGAAUGAUGAAGGUCUUAGGAUUGUAAAAUUCUUUCACCGGGGACGAUAAUGACGGUACCCGGAGAAGAAGCCCCGGCUAACUUCGUG
Molecule: ribosomal RNA, 434 nt
Filed under: uncultured bacterium
Lineage: Bacteria
Description: partial 16S ribosomal RNA
Rfam family: Bacterial small subunit ribosomal RNA
Source: RNAcentral